This 242-nucleotide ribosomal RNA is filed under the name uncultured bacterium. RNAcentral's name for it is "partial 16S ribosomal RNA". It matches the Rfam family "Bacterial small subunit ribosomal RNA", at positions 524 to 776 of the family's 1533-position model. The record is from RNAcentral.
UACGGAGGGGGCGAGCGUUAUUCGGAAUUAUUGGGCGUAAAGGGCUUGGCAAGUCAAAGGUGAAAUCCCUCGGCUCAACUGAGGAACUGCCUUUGAAACUGCCUGGCUUGAGGCCGGGAGGGGGUAGCGGAAUUCCCAGUGUAGCGGUGAAAUGCGUAGAUAUUGGGAGGAACACCAGUGGCGAAGGCGGCUACCUGGACCGGUUCUGACGCUGAUGCGCGAAAGCGUGGGUAGCAAACAGG